RNAcentral lists this transfer RNA (73 nucleotides) under Cordylochernes scorpioides. Its description in RNAcentral is "tRNA-Thr". The record is from RNAcentral. Lineage: Eukaryota; Metazoa; Arthropoda; Arachnida; Pseudoscorpiones; Chernetidae.
GUCCAGGAGCGGGAAUCGAACCCACAACCUUCUGCUUACCGGGCAGGUGCCAUGUUCACUAGGCUAUCCUGGA